RNAcentral lists this ribosomal RNA (1049 nucleotides) under fungal endophyte. RNAcentral's name for it is "eukaryotic LSU rRNA". The stretch from base 472 to 1049 matches the Rfam family "Eukaryotic large subunit ribosomal RNA", at positions 1 to 589 of the family's 3401-position model. Lineage: Eukaryota; Fungi. The record is from RNAcentral.
GAUCAUUAUAGAGUUUUCUAAACUCCCAACCCAUGUGAACUUACCUUUUGUUGCCUCGGCAGAAGUUAUAGGUCUUCUUAUAGCUGCUGCCGGUGGACCAUUAAACUCUUGUUAUUUUAUGUAAUCUGAGCGUCUUAUUUUAAUAAGUCAAAACUUUCAACAACGGAUCUCUUGGUUCUGGCAUCGAUGAAGAACGCAGCGAAAUGCGAUAAGUAAUGUGAAUUGCAGAAUUCAGUGAAUCAUCGAAUCUUUGAACGCACAUUGCGCCCAUUAGUAUUCUAGUGGGCAUGCCUGUUCGAGCGUCAUUUCAACCCUUAAGCCUAGCUUAGUGUUGGGAAUCUACUUCUCUUAGGAGUUGUAGUUCCUGAAAUACAACGGCGGAUUUGUAGUAUCCUCUGAGCGUAGUAAUUUUUUUCUCGCUUUUGUUAGGUGCUAUAACUCCCAGCCGCUAAACCCCCAAUUUUUUGUGGUUGACCUCGGAUCAGGUAGGAAUACCCGCUGAACUUAAGCAUAUCAAUAAGCGGAGGAAAAGAAACCAACAGGGAUUGCCUUAGUAACGGCGAGUGAAGCGGCAACAGCUCAAAUUUGAAAUCUGGCCCUUGGGUCCGAAUUGUAAUUUGUAGAGGAUGAUUUUGGUGCGGUAUCUUCCGAGUUCCUUGGAACAGGACGCCUUAGAGGGUGAGAGCCCCGUACGGUUGAAUGCCUAGCCUCUGUAAAUCUCCUUCGACGAGUCGAGUAGUUUGGGAAUGCUGCUCUAAAUGGGAGGUAAAUUUCUUCUAAAGCUAAAUAUUGGCCAGAGACCGAUAGCGCACAAGUAGAGUGAUCGAAAGAUGAAAAGCACUUUGAAAAGAGGGUUAAAUAGCACGUGAAAUUGUUGAAAGGGAAGGAUUUGUGACCAGACUUUUUCUGGGCGGAUCAUCCGGGGUUCUCUCCGGUGCACUUCGCCCAGUAAAGGCCAGCAUCGGUUUUCGGCGUGGGAUAAAAGCAGUAGGAAUGUGGCUCUCUACGGGGAGUGUUAUAGCCUAUUGUAUAAUACCGCGCUGGGGACC